UUUUGAUUGUUGCUCAGAAGG
RNAcentral lists this microRNA (21 nucleotides) under Penaeus japonicus. Its description in RNAcentral is "miR-315". Lineage: Eukaryota; Metazoa; Arthropoda; Malacostraca; Decapoda; Penaeidae. The record is from RNAcentral.